CCUACGGGUGGCAGCAGUGGGGAAUAUUGCGCAAUGGGCGAAAGCCUGACGCAGCGACGCCGCGUGAGGGAUGAAGGUCUUCGGAGCGUAAACCUCUGUCAGCAGGGAAGAAAGGUAACUGUGCUAAUCAGCAGUGAAUUGACGGUACCGGCAAAGGAAGCACCGGCUAACUCCGUGCCAGCAGCCGCGGUAAGACGGAGGGGGCGAGCGUUACUCGGAAUUACUGGGCGUACAGCGCUCGUAGGCGGUAUGUCAAGUCAAGGGUGAAAUCCCCGCGCUCAACGUGGGAACUGCCUUUGAAACUGGCAACCUGGCGUGUGUGCGCGGAUAGUGGACUUCCAGGUGUAGUCGUGCAAUCCGUAGAUAUCUGGAGGAACAUCAGUGGCGAAGGCGACUCUCUGGCACAUAACUGACGCUGAGGUGCGAAAGCGUGGGUAGCAAACAGGAUUAGAUACCCUUGUAGUC
This 465-nucleotide ribosomal RNA is filed under the name uncultured bacterium. Its description in RNAcentral is "partial 16S ribosomal RNA". It matches the Rfam family "Bacterial small subunit ribosomal RNA", at positions 338 to 795 of the family's 1533-position model. The record is from RNAcentral.